This 459-nucleotide ribosomal RNA is filed under the name uncultured bacterium. RNAcentral's name for it is "bacterial SSU rRNA". It matches the Rfam family "Bacterial small subunit ribosomal RNA", at positions 36 to 518 of the family's 1533-position model. The record is from RNAcentral.
CUGGCGGCGUGCUUAACACAUGCAAGUCGAACGGAAGUAGAAAUACUUUAGUGGCGGACGGGUGAGUAACGCGUGAGCAACCUGCCCUUAUCAGGGGGAUAACACAGAGAAAUUUGUGCUAAUACCGCAUAACGUUGCGAAUAGGCAUCUAAUUGCAACCAAAGAUUUAUCGGAUAAGGAUGGGCUCGCGUCCCAUUAGGUAGUUGGUGAGGUAACGGCCCACCAAGCCGACGAUGGGUAGCCGAUCUGAGAGGAUGAACGGCCACAUUGGAACUGAGAGACGGUCCAGACUCCUACGGGAGGCAGCAGUGGGGAAUAUUGGGCAAUGGGCGCAAGCCCUGACCCAGCAACGCCGCGUGAAUGAAGAAGGUUUUCGGAUUGUAAAGUUCUGUGAUGGGGGACGAAGAAAGUGACGGUACCCCAAUAGCAAGCUACGGCUAACUACGUGCCAGCCGCCGC